UCCAUGUGUUGGGAUUGUCUGGU
Molecule: non-coding RNA, 23 nt
Filed under: Mus musculus (house mouse)
Lineage: Eukaryota; Metazoa; Chordata; Mammalia; Rodentia; Muridae
Source: RNAcentral